This 1042-nucleotide long non-coding RNA is filed under the name Nicotiana tabacum (common tobacco). RNAcentral's name for it is "long non-coding RNA (NTAB_LNC001694)". Lineage: Eukaryota; Viridiplantae; Streptophyta; Magnoliopsida; Solanales; Solanaceae. The record is from RNAcentral.
AGAUUAAAAACCCUGAAAAGUUGAAACGGCUGAGUUGAAACAUACAUAAAAUCCUUUGCAUUUUUAGUGGAAAUUGGUCUAGUUCUGCUGUCAUUCUUCAGAGUUUGAAAUCUUUUCAAGAAUUCUGGUCAUUUUGGGUUCAAAAAAAUGGUUUAAAGAGACUGAGUUUGCUGUUUUUGCUGAGCUGAUUCUGCUGAUGCUGUUACUAACUCUUCAUUUUCCUUCUUUCUCUUCCAAUUUCCAGGUACUCUUUUGAACCAUGAGUGGGUAUGAAGUCUGAAUAUGUUGUUGCAUGAAAGACAUGUCUUCCUGAAGAUAUCAAUAAAAUCAUGUUGUUUUAGGGCCUUAUUUUUACAUCUCCUUUAGGCUAUUUAUUUCUGAUUCCAUCUUUCUUGUCCAUUUUAUCAUGUUUUAAGUUUGCUGUGAUGUGUUCCUGUUGUGAAUGGAUCUGUUCUGUAGUAUAUAUUCAAAAUCCGUGAUUAAGAAUGGCAAGUUUGCAUAGCAGUCUUAUUUAAAGUUGUAGUACAAUCAAUUCAGUGUUUAUUAUUCUUUGAAACAAUGAUCUGAACCUUUUGUAAUGUUUUUGAGGUUGGUUUGUUGUUGUGAAGGAUGAAUUCAGGCCCAUGCUGUGUGUAUUUUGGGGGAAAAUUUCAUGUUACUGCAUAAAUACUGUCUAAACUGAUCAUAUCAUAAAUCAAAUGUUGAUAUGGUUAGUAGAAUGUAUGCAUUUGGCAAUUAAUCAUUUGUUUAAAAAUAUUUGGAAGGGAGUUUAGUGUUUGGAAUGAGGCAAAGUUGAGCUUAUACUAAUAGAUGUAUUAUUUAUUUGGAAUCAUGCUUAGUUUUGUUGAUUUGAAUUCGUGAAUCCUAUUAGAUUUAAAUGAUGAGACAAUUGUGUAUGAGUUAUUAUGACAUUAAGUAAUGCAUUUUAUCAUAGAAUGCGACUGAGUAUCAAGAACAUGUUUUGCAUUGGUCUAGAUUUGUAAAAGUUUGACAAUAGUUGUUCUGAUUUCAAGUUCUUAAGAAAUCAAUUGUGCUUAAUUGA